This 276-nucleotide ribosomal RNA is filed under the name Triticum aestivum (bread wheat). Its description in RNAcentral is "partial small subunit ribosomal RNA". The record is from RNAcentral. Lineage: Eukaryota; Viridiplantae; Streptophyta; Magnoliopsida; Poales; Poaceae.
CACAUUGCCAUUACUAACAUCUACGCUCCCUCCUCGCGCUCUCUCAAGUUAGCGUUCUCAGACGAACUCGCCUCUAUCGCACAACCAGAUGACACCCCAUGGCUCAUAGCCGGCGACUUCAAUCUUAUCCGUUUCCCCUCCGAAGAAAAUAACGCCGCCUUCCACCCCGCCGAAGCCAAUGCGUUCAACCAAACCUUAGAUAACCUAGCACUUAUCGAAUUGCCUCUUCUGGACCGCAGGUUCACUUGGUCCAAUAACCGUGCCUCCCCACCCUAG